AAUUAUCACUUGUAUAUUCUCAUCAGUCACUCAGUUCUUCACUUAGUGAUUUCUACCUCAGCAGAAAUUGCCCUUUCAGAAGUUACAGUGACCUAAUUACCAGUCCACAGGUUUGGGUUUAUCAGAUUAACUCCUGUUUAGUCUUUUUGGAAUCAAUUUCCACUCCCUCCCCCCAUUUGAGUGAGACACUGUAUUUUUGUCUAGUUUAUACGGGAUUCUUUCUGCUUGCUCUUUUAAUGUAUUUUCCCAAGGUCUUGCCUUCUGCCCUCUUGUUUUCUCAUUCUAUAUAUUACCUAUGGCCCUUUUAUUACUAUUUCAUAUCCAUGUCUAGUCCUCACAUCAUUCUGUCUCAGAACUGUUUCCCACAGUCUGAUAGACAUCUCUCUAGGUUUUUGGCUAGAAUUCUGAAGCUAACUUUUGAAAUCAGAAAUCAUUGUUACAAUUCUUUCAGUAUCUGUCUCCUGGCCUUCUUUCACAGCUCCUAAAACACAGCAGCUUUUUACACCUGCCUUGUCUUUAUUUUGAAUACUGAUGCCACUAAUCUUUUAGUUAUUCUGCCUUCUGGAAUCAGUUUCUUAUUUUCUACUUUUACAAUUCUAGAUGAAUCUGCCAUUAAGACUUGAAUUGGUCUGCUAAUUCAUUUAUUUCCUAAUUUCUCAUUUUUAAUGCUGUAAUUGGAUAUGUCCUUUUGGCUUUAUACUAAAGUCAAGGUUUUAGAUUUCUAACAAAUUCUGAUCUGGGCAGGAAGCUUCCCUGAAAGCCAGGGCAGCAUAAACUCUUUUGUUAUUCUCAAGUUCUUCUACUUAAUUGUAUGAGAUUUAUGGUAGAAUGGUGUUCGGUAUAUGUGGUAACUGAUGAGUAUGGUUUAAGAAAUUCUAGGAGUUCUCAUCGUGGCUCAGUGGUAAUGAGCCCAACUAGUAUCCAUUAUAGGAUGCGGGUUAGAUCCCUGGCCUUCCUUGCUCAGUGGGUUAAGGAUGGGGCAUUCCCAUGAGCUGUGCUAUGGGUAACAGACACGGCUUGUUACUAUGGUUAUGGUGUAGGCUGGCAGGUACAGCUCCAAUUCAACCCUAGCCUGGGAACUUCCAUAUGCUGGUUGGUAUGGCCCUAAAAAGACAAAAAGGAAAAAAAAAAAGGGAAAGAAGUUCUGAGAUUCAGGGAGAAAAUCGUUUUUACAAAUUGGAAAAAUUUUCUACCUAUUUUAGAAGGUUAGUUAGAAAGUCACCUAGGUGGGGAUGACUUAACUUCAUUGUACGUUUACUUUCUGUAGCAUUUGACACUAUUAUAUAAUAGCAUAUAAUAACUCUUAUAAGUUCUCUUAUCCUUGAAUCAUGUUCUUCUGACUGUUUUAGGUAUUCCAUUAUUAUGUUGUUACAAAAUAAACAGCACAUUAUUUAUGUCUUUCUUCAUCUCUGCUAGCUGUUAUUUUUUCUUUCAGAGAAUUGUGUAUUUCUGUUAGAGUACUUACUAUAAUAUGCCUUAUGCCAUGAGAAACUAUUUGUCAAAUAGAUUGUGUACUGGGUUUAAAUAGGUUUUAAUCUUUUUUUUUUUUUUUUUUUUUACCAUUGCCUCCCUCCCAUGUCUUAUAAUCACAGUAGGUGUUCAACAGAUGUUUGUUAAAUGAAAUUAUUCCCUUAGUUUGAAUGCCUUUCUUGCUCAUGGGUUGUAAUCACUCUGACACAUAUUACUAAAUGUCUGUGGGUAGAUUGCAUAAUCCCUUUUAAAUAUUUUUGUCCCGAAACUGGCAACGCCUUUUUUCAAAGGGUUAGUUUAUAAUUAACUAGUAAAAUGCUUUGAAGAAGUUAAAGUUGAGCAUUAUGAUCAUCCCAUUAAAGACGAACUGUUAGUAUCAGGUUUGUAGGUAAAAGCUCUCCCAAAGCUUGAGGUUAAUUAAAUGGCAUUGAAGUAAUUAUUUUGUAGUAUUUACAUCUUGGUUAUUUGCUUUACUGAAAUCCCUAGAUUUCUUUGGAGGGAAGGAAUCUUUUUUUCUUUCUUUUUUGGAAGGAUGCUUUUGUAGUGCUAUUUAUUCUGAGGUCUUUGUCACUGAGCCAAGUCAAGAUUGAAACCCUUUCAUUAUGAUAGUAGUACAUUAAUAUAGUGCAGCAGUUAGGAUGAUGUGCAUCAUAUUUUAUACUUAAAUUGUUUUAUAUGCCAGAGGUCCCCAGACUUUUGUGUACUAAGAAUCAUUUAGAGGCCCUCAUUUAAAAUAUCCCAUCUCCAGAGAUUCUAGUUUAGCAGGUUAUGUUUCUUUAAUGAGAAAUUCAGGUACAUUCUGAUUCAGUUAGUAUGUAGAACAUACUUUGAGAGAUACUCCUGAAUGGAGCUGUAAAAAGUUGGUAGCAUAUGGGAGAAUGACUAAUAAACAUACAAAAUCAUUUAAAUUGAUAUUCAAAGAGUUAUAUAACUCACAUUAUUUAAAACAUGACUAUUUUGUCUUUAAUUCAAUAUGCACACAGUACUUACUCCUAGAGUGUGUUUUUGAAACUUCAGUACCUACAGAUGCUCCAUGAAAAAAGAGCUUGAUCAAAUAAGUUUGUGAAAUAUUAUAUAGUAUCUUCCAUACUUCAGAGAUUUGUACUGCAUAUUAACAUAUUAAAGACUCAUAGAAGUCAAGUGAAAAACCUUGGACCUCAUCAUUUCUUAGAUGUAUUUGACCAUGGACCUUCCUAAAAAUGUCCUGAACAAACUUGGGAGGUUGGGGAAAUCGUGCCCUUUUUUUUUGUUUGUUUGUUUUGCUUUAUAUCGUCUGGAAUUCAAAAGAAGUGGUGUAUCUUUUAUAAUUAAAGAACUUAAAAUCUUGCUUGAACCUCAAGACUUGGAUGUGCCAUCUUAAAAAAUGGUAAGUAUAUAAUGCUAAAUUUGAUAUUAUCAAGUGCCAGAAUGGAGAGUUGCAGCUACAAAGGGAAGAGGGCGAUUUAGGUUAGAUUAUUCAGGUAAGAUUUUGAGGGAGAGAUGGGUCUUGAAGGGUGAGUGGUGGGAUUUGAUUACAAGUGAUGCUGGCCUGGGCUGUCUAAAUGGGUAAAGUAUUUCACAGGUAUCAGUUUCUUUAUUCACAACUGUGUCUUCAAACAUAUAGUCAGUGCUUCCGCUGUGACUGUUUGUUGAAUGUGUUAUAUAAUAAUGGUUUCCAAACUCUAAUGUGUAUGAGAAUCAUCUGGAGAUCUUGUUAUAAAUGGUUUCUGAUUGGAUAGGUCUGGGGUAGAGCAUAUUUGAAGUGACAGAUAUAGAGCCUGAUCAAGUCUUGGAUGAGGAAUUGAGUAAGAUGACCUUCGAGGCCCACUUUAACAUUGGUUUUAUAGGGUGAAGUGUCUGAGGUAGUAGACAGAGAACUGUAUUAGGAAUGGAAGCACCUAAAUUCUAGUUUUUUUUUUUUUUUUUUUUUUUCUCCCCCUAAUUCUGUCAGUCAUUUGUUAGCCUUGUGACCUUGGUCUAGAGUUAGUUGACUUAUAUCUGAGCUGUAGUAUUUACUCAGCUAAAUACUGAGUUAAAGGGUGGGACUGGAGAAGGCAAGGGCCUGGGGAAGUGAAAUAAUACAAUUUAAAAAGCAUUCAUUUUUUAAGCACAUUAAGCAUAUUUACCGUUAAGUACUAUUACAUGACUGAAUUGCAUCUUAAGUGGAUUUACCCCCCUCUACUGAGGGAUAGUUUGAAAGUAGCUAACCAGUUUUCUUGAGAGCUCAAACUAAUAAGUGAUGGUGUAUGUUACAUAAUUAACAUGUUUAUUAUCCUUAAUUAUAGACAGUUUAAUGUUUGAAUUUCUAAUUGUUUUUCCCUUUGUGCCUUUUAGUAGGAAUGUGGUCUUGUGGGUUUAAAACUAGCUCGUGGUAACUAGCAUUACAGCACAAAAUUAGAAAUUUGUCUUUUUGUGAAAAAGUUUUUAGUAAGUGAAUAGUCUAUAGGCUAUAUAUUUGGAUACCUUUAAACGUAUAUUGCAAGUAUUUCUUUUUGUGAGUGGCUACAUUCUUUUUGUGAGUGGCUACAUUUGACUAAUUGUAUAAUGUAGUUGGGUUGCUUUGGGAAAAUAUACAGAAAUGACAUUUAUGAAAUGGAUACUUUUUGUAUUUUUCUUAAAAGAAAUUUAAGAAAACUCAAAUAUAUUUAAAUGGUAGCAUAUUGAAAAGGAUUGUACAUGCUUUUAAAAUAUUAUCUAUAAUCUCAAUUGAUAAAGUAUUACCAUGUGAAUUAAAUCUUCUCUGAAGAAAACAUAGCUCUUUUCUCCACUCUCUUACCCACCUGUCCAGUAUUCAAGGAAUUGGGUGGUGAAGAGGAUAGCUGCUGUGACUGCAAAGACAGUUACGCCUGUAGUUUGAAGACAUGAGGCUGGGGAGGGAUUAGUGUGUGAUGGAUGUAGGUCUCUGGUUGAGAGACUGAUUAUAUUAAACAAAUUAAUUAAUUGAAAGAGCAAUUGUAUUGAAAAUAAUGGAAGUUGUGUUUCUCAUGGGGAAGGACUUAUAAAAAUGGAAAAUCUAAAAAGAAACAUAGGUAUGGAAUUAGAAUUGGAAGCACUGGUGUACACACAUUUGUUUUUUAUUAUUUGUGUACAGGUGGGUAAGAAAUAGGUAUAGAUAUGUAUAUUUAUAUGUAUGUAUAUGUAGUAAUAUACUUCCUAGCUUUCUCUUUGAGAGGACUCAAUAGCGGUGAAACCCCAGUAACAAGGAGCACACCUUAUGCCCAGAUCUUGAUUUCCGAAUACUAUCCUUGACGAAAAGAAGCUAAUGCUCAAUUUAGCUCAAUUUAUAGGGUGAGGGAGGGAAGGUACUAGUUGAGUCUGGAGAGUUCUUUUGUGCCAGAAAGUAAGGAAAUACUCACAAUGGUGGGGACAUGUCAGAAGGAUACAGGAACCACUUUGAAAGGUUCCUGAUAGCCAAAUCUAGUAUAAUUUGAGCAGAAAAAAAUAGAGGGAUGGGUAAUAACCCAUAGGAUAAAGUAAGAAUCCAUGAGUCCAUACUGAUAUGAAUAAAUGAGUGAAUGAAAAGGAAAGGAGGGUUGGGGAGGGAAAGUUCUUUAAAGUAGAAUGCCAACUAAAAAAUACUGAAGGAGUAAUGGGAUUAGAUAAUCACCACCAUAGCGGUAUUAAAGGCAAGAAUAGUCAGUGAAUGCUUUGGCUAGUGGGUAGAGAGUUAUAUCUAAUGAUGGGUCGGUAUAAUAUGUAUGCAUAGUAUCUCAUCUAUAUAUCUGUUCCUUGAAUGUUAUAGCCUAAAUUGGGUUACGAGGAACAUCAGAUAGACCCAGACUGAUGGUCAUGCUAGAGAAUGAAGAGCCUAUAUCCUUUA
This 5269-nucleotide long non-coding RNA is filed under the name Sus scrofa (pig). Its description in RNAcentral is "lncRNA (ENSSSCG00005008105.1)". The record is from RNAcentral. Lineage: Eukaryota; Metazoa; Chordata; Mammalia; Artiodactyla; Suidae.